AGAGUUUGAUCAUGGCUCAGAUUGAACGCUGGCGGCAGGCUUAACACAUGCAAGUCGAGCGGAAACGAUGGGAGCUUGCUCCCAGGCGUCGAGCGGCGGACGGGUGAGUAACGCGUAGGAAUCUACCCAGUAGUGGGGGAUAGCCCGGGGAAACUCGGAUUAAUACCGCAUACGCCCUACGGGGGAAAGGCCGGGAUCUUCGGACCGGUCGCUAUUGGAUGAGCCUGCGUUGGAUUAGCUAGUUGGUAGGGUAAAGGCCUACCAAGGCGACGAUCCAUAGCUGGUCUGAGAGGAUGAUCAUCCAGGCUGGAACUGAGACACGGUCCAGACUCCUA
This 335-nucleotide ribosomal RNA is filed under the name uncultured Gammaproteobacteria bacterium. Its description in RNAcentral is "bacterial SSU rRNA". It matches the Rfam family "Bacterial small subunit ribosomal RNA", at positions 8 to 341 of the family's 1533-position model. The record is from RNAcentral. Lineage: Bacteria; Pseudomonadati; Pseudomonadota; Gammaproteobacteria.